ACUCCUACGGGAGGCAGCAGUAGGGAAUAUUGGGCAAUGGAGGCAACUCUGACCCAGCCAUGCCGCGUGCAGGAUGAAGGCGUUAUGCGUUGUAAACUGCUUUUAUAUAGGAAGAAAUAGACCUUGCGAGGUAAGUUGACGGUACUAUAUGAAUAAGCACCGGCUAACUCCGUGCCAGCAGCCGCGGUAAUACGGAGGGUGCAAGCGU
RNAcentral lists this ribosomal RNA (208 nucleotides) under uncultured bacterium. RNAcentral's name for it is "partial 16S ribosomal RNA". It matches the Rfam family "Bacterial small subunit ribosomal RNA", at positions 335 to 541 of the family's 1533-position model. The record is from RNAcentral.